GAUGCUCGUUCGCAUAAGUUUCAGCCACCGACAUUGCAUGAGUGACGCCGUUUGGCGCUGAGG
RNAcentral lists this small nucleolar RNA (63 nucleotides) under Euglena gracilis. RNAcentral describes it as "partial Eg-m27.1 box C/D methylation-guide snoRNA". The record is from RNAcentral. Lineage: Eukaryota; Euglenozoa; Euglenophyceae; Euglenales; Euglenaceae.